CUGGGACAACACGCACUAGAGAGGAACAAACGGCUGAAGAGGAGCGGGGUGUCAGUGUUGACGAGGACAAGGCUGGAGACCACUCUGUCAUGCUGAUUGAGUUAGAAUAACAGACUGGAAGCUUUAAAAUGAGGGUGGUGCUUGAAGAAAGCUUCAGGACGCUGAAGAAAGUCCCGAAAGCGCCAGGACCAUCUCCUAAAGUCGAUUCAGCUCCAGGAACGGGGCACCACCAGUGCAGAGUUUGCUCAGGAAAGGCAGCAGGCAGUUGUGAGUGCAUCCGCAUGCACAGUGAGGCGAAGACUUUUGCAGGAUGGCCUGGUGUCAAGAAGGGCAGCAAAGAAGCCACUUCUCUCCAGGAAAAACCCAUCAGGGACAGACUGAUAUUCUGCAAAAGGUACAGGAAUUGAACUUCUGAGGACUGCGGGUAAAGUAAUUUUCUCUGAUGAAUCCCCUUUCCAAUCAAUUGUGGCAUCUGGAAAAAAAAACCUUGUCCAGAGAAAAAAAGGUGAGUGCUACCAUCAGUCCUGUGUCAUGCCAACAGUAAAGCAUCCUGAGACCAUUCAUGUGUGGGGUUGCUUCUGAGCCAAGGGAGUGGGCUCACUCACAAUUUUGCCUAAGAACACAGCCAUGAAUAAAGAAUGGUACAAAAGCAUACUCCAAGAGCAACUUCUCCCAACUAUCCAAGAACAGUUUGGUGAUGAAAAAUGCAUUUUCCAGCAUGAUGAUGCACCUUGCCAUAAGGCAAAAGUGAUAAUUAAGUGGCUUGGGCAACAAAACAUCAAAAUGUUGGGUCCAUGGCCAGAAAACUCCCCAGACCCUAAUCCCAUUGAGAACUUGUGGUCAAUCCUCAAGAGGUGGGUGAACAAACCCCCCCCCCAUUUCUAAAACACUCCAAGCAUUGAUUAUGCAAGAAUGGACUGCCAUCAGUCAGGAUGUGGCCCAGAAUUUGAUUGACAGCAUGCCAGGGUGAAUUGCAGAUGUCUUGUAAAAGGAGGGUCAACACUGCAAAUAUUGACUCUUUGCAUAAACUUAAUGUAAUUGUCAAUAAAAGCCUUUGACACUUAUGAAA
Long non-coding RNA from Bombina bombina (fire-bellied toad), 1069 nucleotides. RefSeq lists it as uncharacterized. Lineage: Eukaryota; Metazoa; Chordata; Amphibia; Anura; Bombinatoridae. The record is from RefSeq and is a predicted model, not a curated record. The transcript has 2 exons.